AGUGCAGUUCAGCACCUUUUCAGAUUCCUGUUGGCCAUUUAUGGAGUCUCACUCUGUAGCCCAAGCUGGAGUGGCGUGAUCUCGACUCACUGCAACCUCCGCCUCCUGGGCUCAAGUGAUUCUCGUGCCUCAGCCUCCUGAGUAGCUGGGACUACAGCUCAGCAAGGCCCACAUUCUCCCGGUGAAGCCACAGAACCACAGGGAGAAAUCCAUGGACUUGGCCUCGCUCUCUAGGGGACCAGAUGUGCAGAGGUAAUGAAUACCAGGGAAUCAGGAAACCACUGGAUCAGUUCUUUGAGCCAUAGAACAACACUCAUCCCAGCAGCUGGGAAGCUAUCUGCAAAAGUCCAUCUGCAGAAAGGGCUUCCUGGUCUUGCGUGUGGCUGGGCCAUUUCUCUGGAUGCAGGUUUUUCAUUAUACAGUCUUCUCAAAGGACCACCUGCUCUCAACACC
RNAcentral lists this non-coding RNA (453 nucleotides) under Pongo abelii (Sumatran orangutan). The record is from RNAcentral. Lineage: Eukaryota; Metazoa; Chordata; Mammalia; Primates; Hominidae.